RNAcentral lists this transfer RNA (67 nucleotides) under human gut metagenome. It matches the Rfam family "tRNA", at positions 5 to 66 of the family's 71-position model. From Rfam's summary of the family: Transfer RNA (tRNA) molecules are approximately 80 nucleotides in length. The record is from RNAcentral. RNAcentral also lists the same sequence under 1 other name.
GGAUGUAGCGCAGUUGGUAGCGCGCGUGGUUUGGGACCACGAUGUCGCAGGUUCAAAUCCUGUCAUU